This 254-nucleotide ribosomal RNA is filed under the name uncultured bacterium. Its description in RNAcentral is "partial 16S ribosomal RNA". It matches the Rfam family "Bacterial small subunit ribosomal RNA", at positions 524 to 776 of the family's 1533-position model. The record is from RNAcentral.
UACGGGGGGAGCAAGCGUUGUUCGGAUUUACUGGGCGUAAAGGGCGCGUAGGCGGCCACCGCAAGUCGAUUGUGAAAUCUCCGGGCUUAACCCGGAAAGGUCAACCGAUACUGCGGGGCUAGAGUGCAGAAGGGGCAACUGGAAUUCUCGGUGUAGCGGUGAAAUGCGUAGAUAUCAAGAGGAACACCUGCGGCGAAGGCGGGUUGCUGGGCCGACACUGACGCUGAAGCGCGAAAGCCAGGGGAGCGAACGGG